Long non-coding RNA from Ornithodoros turicata, 780 nucleotides. RefSeq lists it as uncharacterized. The record is from RefSeq and is a predicted model, not a curated record. The transcript has 3 exons. Lineage: Eukaryota; Metazoa; Arthropoda; Arachnida; Ixodida; Argasidae.
GCCGUGGGGAGUGGUCGCACCGUCGCCACGGGGGAAAAGACUGAUCAAUGGGGAUCACGUCGUGACACCAGGAGGGAGGAUCAAGAGCACUUCACUCGAAUAUGUAUCCUCAUGGAUUAAUGAUGCGUGGAGAAGCCUUCCCCAGACCACCGUUCAGAACGACUGCGAGCAGCAACAAAGAAAUGUCAACAGCGAUGCGGAAUAAAUGCUCGUUCACUCUUUGCCCAGGGGUAAACCUCAUCAACUUUUUUGCGGGUCUCUCUCCUCGAGGGAGAUGUAUCUUUUAUGCUUUUCCAGGGAACUAAAACGUGUCUACGGGAAAAACUUGACUGCCACAGGAAGCUGACGUCAAGCUGCCUGAAGCUGCUCCUACAGCAGGAAAUCUGGUUUUGUUAGAAGCUUUUACAGUGCCAUGGAGCAGAGCGUACGGACUCCUAAUUUCCUUGCAUAUGGUGUAAGCACUACGUCACACACUUGCUACUUGCAUAAGACUGCGUAAAGCGCAAGCUUUGUCUGCUAAGUUUCAAAGAGUUGGAACACGUUCGCACGCCAUUUCGGAUACGGUGACAACGACAGGAUUAUGUGCACAAAAUUACAUACACAAAAUCGUACCAACUCAUAAGACUGGCUCAUUAUUAGUAGGGCCGGAAUUUUCGGGUAUUCGCCUAUAAAUGCCACCUAAAUGCCACAUUUUGGGCUUUUUCAUCCCCUCAUUGAAUUGUAGCUUUUUUCAACAUCUUUAGAUGCCAUAACCGUCUUUUUUAGAGGUGCAAGUGUGAG